UUGCAGAUGUGUUCAUCUGUAAUAGAUACACCUCAUGACUUUAACAGAAAUUCAAACCUGAUACAAUAGAGAGUAUUCGAUUCUAAAUUCUAAGGUGAACUUAGUUCACCAUAACCAUAGAGAUAAAAAGUAGGAACCACUUGUGGAUUUGUUUUUACCAGCUCUUAUGGAUUCCAAUAUACCCAUCCCCAAUGGGUAUACUGCAAUCAACUCAUAAAACCAUUUUCCAGUACACUAAGAUGUAAAUGAUACAGAAUUAACCAAGAAGCUAUAAAAAUGCACAUAACAAAAAAUUUAUGCAUAGUGUAAGCAACCUAACCUGGCAGCAAUCAGGUAUCUCCCAAUCUAAACAGCUGCUUGGGAUUCUAAGAUAAAAUAAGGGACCAAAAUCAUAUAGUUUCCUAGCAACAUGUACAUCUAUAAUAUGCUUAAACCGCUAAACAAUAGAUAUCUAUUUGGAAAUGCAGGAUCUCUCCUACGUCAUGUACUAUUUGAAGCCAAAAGCAACUUGUUUCACAUCUGGCGGGCUGCUUACUGCUUAGACACCUUGACUAGGCGAACAUAGCGCAAAAGAGACCUUAGAUGCUUCAAGCUCUACUGUAGCAUCCACAACUUCUGUAUCUGCAUUGGACUGGACAUGUCAAUCGUUUGCUUAUCUGUCUACUCUUGUAUUUACAUUUUAGUUGGAUACUAGACAAGUUGGAUCCGAUGCUUUCCAUCACAACCAUUGAACUAGUUUCUUUUAGCCCCUGUUCUCAAAAUCAUUGACCAUGCUUCACAG
Molecule: unclassified non-coding RNA, 781 nt
Filed under: Hevea brasiliensis (rubber tree)
Lineage: Eukaryota; Viridiplantae; Streptophyta; Magnoliopsida; Malpighiales; Euphorbiaceae
Source: RNAcentral